This 57-nucleotide transfer RNA is filed under the name Acinetobacter baumannii. RNAcentral describes it as "tRNA-Glu". It matches the Rfam family "tRNA", at positions 9 to 63 of the family's 71-position model. Rfam says of the family: Transfer RNA (tRNA) molecules are approximately 80 nucleotides in length. RNAcentral also lists the same sequence under 3 other names. The record is from RNAcentral. Lineage: Bacteria; Pseudomonadati; Pseudomonadota; Gammaproteobacteria; Moraxellales; Moraxellaceae.
GGUCAAGUGGUUAAGACACCGCCCUUUCACGGCGGUAACACGGGUUCGAAUCCCGUA